AAAUCGGCAGUGUAUCAAAUACUUGUUCUCCCCACUGUAGAUAUUGUAAUCUCAGGCCAGGGGUUGUGAUAUAGAUACUGUAAUCUCAGGCCAGGGGUUGUGAUAUAGAUAUUGUAAUCUCAGGCCAGGGGUUGUGAUGUAGAUAUUGUAAUCUCAGGCCAGGGGUUGUGAUAUAGAUAUAGUAAUCUCAGGCCAGGGGUUGUGAUAUAGAUAUUGUAAUCUCAGGCCACGGGUUGUGAUAUAGAUAUUGUAAUCUCAGGCCAGGGGUUGUGAUAUAGAUAUAGUAAUCUCAGGCCAGGGGUUGUGAUAUAGAUAUAGUAAUCUCAGGCCAGGGGUUGUGAUAUAGAUAUAGUAAUCUCAGGCCACGGGUUGUGAUAUAUUCUUAUUUACUUAAUGUUUGAUUGAAGUGAACAGUUCAAAUGGGACAGCCCCAUAGCCUCUGAAUGUUUUGUUCCUAUGUAAAUUAUGACUGAUCAGGUAAACACUGACCUAGGAUGCAUCCCAAAUGACACCCUAUCCUCAAUAUAGCCCUAUGGACGCUGGUCAAAAGUAGUGCACGGUAUAGGGAAUAGGGUGCAAUUUGGGACCCUACCUUAAUGUCUGUUUAUAAUCUAUAAGACAUUAUUAAAUAGCUUGUUAACAAUUAGUAAAUGAACUGUGUAUCAAUCAGUAUUUAUAAGUUCAUAUAUUUAUUAAAACAAACUACUUAAUAAUGUUCAUAAGAGGUUUAUAACUGGACAUAUAGAGUUAAUAACGUGUCUGUUGAUACAAGACCAUGGCACUGGUGUUUUCAAAAUUAUGCAGUCAUCUUUUGAUGAAAAAUACUAAAUAAAAUACAAGUUAUUGAUUUAUUUUAACUCUAAAAAAAAUAUUAGAACUUGUUGUGAACUUUGAUUCAUACUGUAUGUCUUAAAGGGGCAAUUUGGGAUUGAACCAACAACAAAGCCCACCCCGCCACUUUUUUAUGUAAACAGCUGAGCAAUGGGGCUGGAGAAAUGGAACCACUCUUAAAUUCAUAGACAAGAGUUAUGGAUGCAACGACUGACCAUCUAUGAGAUCAACAUAAUAGUUUUAACCAUGUUUUGAGGCUGUACAGUGUUUGUUUACAAUUACAUUGUUUACAAACAGUGGAGUAAAACAAGCUUAUAUUUUGGGUUCUGAUCCUGUAAGACAGUUUAACUAAGCUCAUGUUUUGCUGCAAAGAGACAGAAUCAUUAGAUCAUUUGUUUUGGUACUGUC
This is a long non-coding RNA of Coregonus clupeaformis (lake whitefish), 1239 nucleotides long. RefSeq lists it as uncharacterized. NCBI's taxonomy places the organism in Eukaryota, Metazoa, Chordata, Actinopteri, Salmoniformes, Salmonidae. The transcript is spliced from 2 exons. The record is from RefSeq and is a predicted model, not a curated record.